RNAcentral lists this ribosomal RNA (254 nucleotides) under uncultured bacterium. RNAcentral's name for it is "partial 16S ribosomal RNA". It matches the Rfam family "Bacterial small subunit ribosomal RNA", at positions 524 to 776 of the family's 1533-position model. The record is from RNAcentral.
UACGGGGGGAGCAAGCGUUGUUCGGAUUUACUGGGCGUAAAGGGCGCGUAGGCGGCCUCCGCAAGUCAGUUGUGAAAUCUCCGAGCUUAACUCGGAAAGGUCAACUGAUACUGCGGGGCUAGAGUGCGGAAGGGGCAACUGGAAUUCUUGGUGUAGCGGUGAAAUGCGCAGAUAUCAGGAGGAACACCGGUGACGAAGGCGGUUCUCUGGGCAUUACCUGACGCUGAGGAGCGAAAGUGUGGGGAGCGAACAGG